CCUACGGGAGGCAGCAGUGAGGAAUAUUGGUCAAUGGACGAGAGUCUGAACCAGCCAAGUAGCGUGAAGGAUGACUGCCCUAUGGGUUGUAAACUUCUUUUAUAUGGGAAUAAAAUGUUCCACGUGUGGGAUUUUGUAUGUACCAUAUGAAUAAGGAUCGGCUGACUCCGUGCCAGCAGCCGCGGUAAUACGGAGGAUCCGAGCGUUAUCCGGAUUUAUUGGGUUUAAAGGGAGCGUAGGUGGAUUGUUAAGUCAGUUGUGAAAGUUUGCGGCUCAACCGUAAAAUUGCAGUUGAAACUGGCAGUCUUGAGUACAGUAGAGGUGGGCGGAAUUCGUGGUGUAGCGGUGAAAUGCUUAGAUAUCACGAAGAACUCCGAUUGCGAAGGCAGUUCACUGGACUGCAACUGACACUGAGGCUCGAAAGUGUGGGUAUCAAACAGGAUUAGAUACCCGAGUAGUC
This 460-nucleotide ribosomal RNA is filed under the name uncultured bacterium. RNAcentral describes it as "partial 16S ribosomal RNA". It matches the Rfam family "Bacterial small subunit ribosomal RNA", at positions 338 to 795 of the family's 1533-position model. The record is from RNAcentral.